RNAcentral lists this ribosomal RNA (462 nucleotides) under uncultured bacterium. RNAcentral's name for it is "partial 16S ribosomal RNA". It matches the Rfam family "Bacterial small subunit ribosomal RNA", at positions 28 to 507 of the family's 1533-position model. The record is from RNAcentral.
GACGAACGCUGGCGGCGUGCUUAACACAUGCAAGUCGAGCGGAAAGGCCCUUCGGGGUACCCGAGCGGCGAACGGGUGAGUAACACGUUAGUAACCUGCCCCAGACUUUCGGAUAACCCUCGGAAAAGGGGGCUAAUACUGGACACAACACACCUUCGCCUUGGGUCUGUGUGGAAAGUUUUUUGGUUCGUGAUGGGCUUGCGGCCUAUGAGCUUGUUGGUGGGGUGAUGGUCGACCAAGGCGAAGACGGGUCACCGGCCUGAGAGGGCGAACGGCCACACUAGGACUGAGACACGGCCCAGACUCGUACGGUGGGCAACGGUGGGGAGUAUUGCACAGUGGGCGGAAGCCUGAUGAGGCGACGCCGCGUGAGGGAAGACGGCCUGCGGGUUGUGAACCUCAGUCAGCAGGGACGAAGCGUAAGUGACGGUACCUGCAGAAGAAGCGCCGGCUAACUACGUG